RNAcentral lists this ribosomal RNA (393 nucleotides) under uncultured bacterium. Its description in RNAcentral is "partial 16S ribosomal RNA". It matches the Rfam family "Bacterial small subunit ribosomal RNA", at positions 523 to 918 of the family's 1533-position model. The record is from RNAcentral.
AUACGGAGGAUCCGAGCGUUAUCCGGAUUUAUUGGGUUUAAAGGGUGCGCAGGCGGGAUGUUAAGUCGGCGGUGAAAUUUUGCAGCUCAACUGUAAAAGUGCCUUCGAUACUGGCUUCCUUGAGUGUGGAUGAAGUAGGCGGAAUUUGUGGGGUAGCGGUGAAAUGCUUAGAUAUCACGAGGAACUCCGAUUGCGCAGGCAGCUUACUAAACCACUACCGACGCUCAUGCACGAAGGCGUGGGGAUCAAACAGGAUUAGAUACCCUGGUAGUCCACGCAGUAAACGAUGAUUACUAGUUGUUUGCGAUACAAUGUAAGCGACCGAGCGAAAGCGUUAAGUAAUCCACCUGGGGAGUACGUUCGCAAGAAUGAAACUCAAAGGGAUUGACGGGG